GAGUUUGAUCCUGGCUCAGGAUGAACGCUGGCGGCGUGCCUAAUACAUGCAAGUCGAGCGAACAGAUAAGGAGCUUGCUCCUUUGACGUUAGUGGCGGACGGGUGAGUAACACGUGGGUAACCUACCUAUAAGACUGGAAUAACUCCGGGAAACCGGGGCUAAUGCCGGAUAAUAUUUAGAACCGCAUGGUUCUAAAGUGAAAGAUGGUUUUACUAUCACUUAUAGAUGGACCCGCGCCGUAUUAGCUAGUUGGUGGGGUAAUGGCUUACCAAGGCAACGAUACGUAGCCGACCUGAGAGGGUGAUCGGCCACACUGGAACUGAGACACGGUCCAGACUCCUACGGGAGGCAGCAGUAGGGAAUCUUCCGCAAUGGGCGAAAGCCUGACGGAGCAACGCCGCGUGAGUGAUGAAGGUCUUCGGAUCGUAAAACUCUGUUAUUAGGGAAGAACAAAUGUGUAAGUAGCUGUGCACGUCUUGACGGUACCUAAUCAGAAAGCCACGGCUAAC
Molecule: ribosomal RNA, 510 nt
Filed under: uncultured bacterium
Lineage: Bacteria
Description: bacterial SSU rRNA
Rfam family: Bacterial small subunit ribosomal RNA
Source: RNAcentral